Molecule: ribosomal RNA, 253 nt
Filed under: uncultured bacterium
Lineage: Bacteria
Description: partial 16S ribosomal RNA
Rfam family: Bacterial small subunit ribosomal RNA
Source: RNAcentral
UACGGGGGGGGCAAGCGUUAAUCGGAAUUACUGGGCGUAAAGCGUGCGCAGGCGGUUCGCAAAGUCUGAUGUGAAAGCCCCGGGCUCAACCUGGGAACUGCAUUGGAAACUAACGGGCUCGAGUGUGGCAGAGGGGGGUGGAAUUCCACGUGUAGCAGUGAAAUGCGUAGAGAUGUGGAGGAACACCGAUGGCGAAGGCAGCCCCCUGGGCUAACACUGACGCUCAGGCACGAAAGCGUGGGGAGCAAACAGG